CCUACGGGAGGCAGCAGUGAGGAAUAUUGGCCAAUGGGCGCAAGCCUGAACCAGCCAAGUCGCGUGAGGGAUGACGGUCCUAUGGAUUGUAAACCUCUUUUGUCGGGGAGCAAUGCCCGCCACGUGUGGCGGGCAGGAGAGUACCCGAAGAAAAAGCAUCGGCUAACUCCGUGCCAGCAGCCGCGGUAAUACGGAGGAUGCGAUCGUUAUCCGGAUUUAUUGGGUUUAAAGGGUGCGUAGGCGGAAUGUUAAGUCAGCGGUCAAAUGUCGGGGCUCAACACCGGCCUGCCGUUGAAACGGGUCUUCUUGGGGGGGCGGGAAGGAUGGGGAAGGCGUGGUGUAGCGGUGAAAUGCA
RNAcentral lists this ribosomal RNA (355 nucleotides) under uncultured bacterium. Its description in RNAcentral is "partial 16S ribosomal RNA". It matches the Rfam family "Bacterial small subunit ribosomal RNA", at positions 338 to 690 of the family's 1533-position model. The record is from RNAcentral.